CACGAGACGCCGGCGUUACUAUAAGAGCGCAGCCGUGGCGCUUGCGCGCCUCUUUCUCAGUGACCGGCUGGUUUGCUCAGGCGCAGACGGGGAAGCGGAGCCAACAUGCCAGUGGCCCGGAGCUGGGUUUGUCGCAAAACUUAUGUGACCCCGCGGAGACCCUUCGAGAAAUCUCGUCUCGACCAAGAGCUGAAGCUGAUCGGCGAGUAUGGGCUCCGGAACAAACGUGAGGUCUGGAGGGUCAAAUUUACCCUGGCCAAGAUCCGCAAGGCCGCUCGGGAACUGCUGACGCUUGAUGAGAAGGACCCACGGCGUCUGUUCGAAGGCAAUGCCCUGCUGCGGCGGCUGGUCCGCAUUGGGGUGCUGGAUGAGGGCAAGAUGAAGCUGGAUUACAUCCUGGGCCUGAAGAUAGAGGAUUUCUUAGAGAGACGCCUGCAGACCCAGGUCUUCAAGCUGGGCUUGGCCAAGUCCAUCCACCACGCUCGCGUGCUGAUCCGCCAGCGCCAUAUCAGGUACCACCUCGGAUGGGCACCUGAAUCUUCCUCCACCUGCCCCUCUGAUGGUUGCCCUCACUAAGCCUGCUGUCCCUAUCUCCUAUGCAGCCCUCGGAGGUGAUGGGUGUGAAUUCACCCAGAGGGUACAGAUUCACCCUUGCACACAGCUCACCAGGGAGCUGGGGCAGCCUCAUGCCCCAAUAGCCCAGCGCAAGGGUCACUGCGGCUCUAGCCGUACACCUUGUGAAGGCCUCUGCCAGGCAUGUGGGCAGCUGGACAGGUAACAGCUCUUGGUGUCCCCAGUGGAGGGAGAGAACCAGCCUCACCUCGCUUGGGUGGUGGGUUCAGCUGUCUCCUGGCUCGCUUGUGAAGUUGAUUCCAGACCCCGAUCCAUGACUGCGUU
This 897-nucleotide small RNA is filed under the name Pan troglodytes (chimpanzee). RNAcentral describes it as "retained intron". Lineage: Eukaryota; Metazoa; Chordata; Mammalia; Primates; Hominidae. The record is from RNAcentral.